CAGCAGCCGCGGGAAUACGAAGGGUGCAAGCGUUAAUCGGAAUUACUGGGCGUAAAGCGCGCGUAGGUGGUUUGGUAAGAUGGAUGUGAAAUCCCCGGGCUCAACCUGGGAACUGCAUCCAUAACUGCCUGACUAGAGUACGGUAGAGGGUGGUGGAAUUUCCUGUGUAGCGGUGAAAUGCGUAGAUAUAGGAAGGAACACCAGUGGCGAAGGCGACCACCUGGACUGAUACUGACACUGAGGUGCGAAAGCGUGGGGAGCAAACAGGAUUAGAUACCCCAGUAGUCCCUGUCUCUUAUAC
RNAcentral lists this ribosomal RNA (301 nucleotides) under uncultured bacterium. RNAcentral's name for it is "partial 16S ribosomal RNA". It matches the Rfam family "Bacterial small subunit ribosomal RNA", at positions 509 to 807 of the family's 1533-position model. The record is from RNAcentral.